AUGGGCGCCAGGCUCCUCUGCUGUGUGACUCUCUGCUUCCUGGGAGCAGGCCUGGUGGAUUCUGAAGUCACCCAGACCCCCAAAUAUCUGAUCAAAUCAAGAAACCAGCAAGUGAUGCUGAGAUGUUCCUCUGAAUUUGGACAUCGCUUUGUGUACUGGUACCAACAGGCUCUGGGCCAGGGCCCCCAGUUCCUCAUUCAGUAUUACAACAGGGAAGUUAAUGAGAAAGGAAACAUAUCAGAUCGAUUCUCAGAACAGUUCAGUGAUUUUCGCUCGGAGCUGAGCUUGACCCCCUUGGAGCUGACGGACUCCGCUCUGUAUCUCUGUGCCAGCAGCCAAGACACAGCCCUGCGUGAUCAGGUGCCUCUGGGACAAAAACACUCCUGCCCCAGCUCAGGAAGUGGUAACCUGGGAAGCAGAGGCUCCUGUGAACUUGAAGGAGCUGUACCUGCCUUUGGCUGGUGGACCAACUGCCAGUGA
Molecule: non-coding RNA, 480 nt
Organism: Dama dama (fallow deer)
Lineage: Eukaryota; Metazoa; Chordata; Mammalia; Artiodactyla; Cervidae
Source: the annotation of a RefSeq genome assembly